AUGCGGCGGGCGAGCUGGAUGUCCUUGGGCAUGAUGGUGACGCGCUUGGCGUGGAUGGCGCACAGGUUGGUGUCCUCGAACAGCCCCACCAGGUACGCCUCGGCCGCCUCCUGGAGGGCCAGCACGGCGUGGCUCUGGAACCUGAGGUCCGUCUUGAAGUCCUGCGCGAUCUCGCGGACCAGGCGCUGGAAAGGCAGCUUGCGGAUCAGCAGCUCCGUGCUCUUCUGGUACUUGCGGAUCUCCCGGAGCGCCACGGUCCCGGGCCUGUAG
This 270-nucleotide ribosomal RNA is filed under the name Triticum aestivum (bread wheat). RNAcentral describes it as "partial small subunit ribosomal RNA". The record is from RNAcentral. Lineage: Eukaryota; Viridiplantae; Streptophyta; Magnoliopsida; Poales; Poaceae.